Molecule: long non-coding RNA, 197 nt
Organism: Ipomoea nil (Japanese morning glory)
Lineage: Eukaryota; Viridiplantae; Streptophyta; Magnoliopsida; Solanales; Convolvulaceae
Exons: 2
Source: RefSeq, a predicted model, not a curated record
UAAGAUGAGUACAGGACUUCCAAUUAAGAUCAUGUCUUCUAUGAAAGGACAAAGUUAUACUUCAUUCUGUAGGCUGGAUAUAAAUAUUCAUCGGAACAUCCCCCACAUUCAUGUGUAUGAAAAACGACAGAACAAAGAAAAGUGGCAUGGAGCUGAUAUCCAAAUACUCAUUGAAGGGAACUGGACAAGUUACCGUU